AGAGUUUGAUCCUGGCUCAGGACGAACGCUGGCGGCGUGCCUAAUACAUGCAAGUAGAACGCUGAAGAGAGGAGCUUGCUCUUCUUGGAUGAGUUGCGAACGGGUGAGUAACGCGUAGGUAACCUGCCUUGUAGCGGGGGAUAACUAUUGGAAACGAUAGCUAAUACCGCAUAACAAUGGAUGACACAUGUCAUUUAUUUGAAAGGGGCAAUUGCUCCACUACAAGAUGGACCUGCGUUGUAUUAGCUAGUAGGUGAGGUAAUGGCUCACCUAGGCGACGAUACAUAGCCGACCUGAGAGGGUGAUCGGCCACACUGGGACUGAGACACGGCCCAGACUCCUACGGGAGGCAGCAGUUGGGAAUCUUCGGCAAUGGGGGCAACCCUGACCGAGCAACGCCGCGUGAGUGAAGAAGGUUUUCGGAUCGUAAAGCUCUGUUGUAAGUCAAGAACGGGUGUGAGAGUGGAAAGUUCACACUGUGACGGUAGCUUACCAGAAAGGGACGGCUAACUACGUGCCAGCAGCCGCGGU
This 531-nucleotide ribosomal RNA is filed under the name unidentified oral bacterium RP55-10. RNAcentral's name for it is "bacterial SSU rRNA". It matches the Rfam family "Bacterial small subunit ribosomal RNA", at positions 8 to 521 of the family's 1533-position model. The record is from RNAcentral.